UGGAGGGAUUUUUCGAUAAAUGGAGCCGUUUUGUAAGAGUUCUUGGGUGUGUGUAUUGGGUACGGUUUUCACAAGGUACUCCGUAUUCUCAAUGCAGCAAUAACAUGUUCUAAUCUAAUUACAGAAUACAGAUUACAGAUUACAACAAUCAUGGAUCAUGGGAUGCGAUUCUGGGAAGUCUUCCGAAAUCCAGGUAUCAAAGGCAAAUUCAAGUCCUGGUUGUUUGAAUUGAUUUGUCAUUGGUUCUGGGUUGUGAAUGGUAAACGGGAUCCCUUUACAAAUGAAUUACGUCCGCAUCUUAUCUUGCACACAAGGUGUUUGAUAGAAGUCCUCAAAGAAAUAUGAGGAAUAAUUGGCAUCUUAAAUCAAAAAAAAAAAAACAUAAAGGACGAUGUCUUGAUGAGUGAGCAUUCACCAUCUCUCAAAAUGGUGCUAUAUAAUAUGUAAGGCAACUGGAUGAGAAACUAAAAAAUAUAUUAUAUAUGCAAGUAAAGUAACAACUCACCAAUGCUUAAAAUCUUUAAGCCCCAGGUCCUCAAAUGUCUUAUAC
Molecule: long non-coding RNA, 550 nt
Filed under: Lactuca sativa (garden lettuce)
Lineage: Eukaryota; Viridiplantae; Streptophyta; Magnoliopsida; Asterales; Asteraceae
Description: long non-coding RNA (LSAT_LNC005742)
Source: RNAcentral